UCCUUGGUGGUCCAGUGGUUAAGACUCUGUGCUUGCAGUGCAGGAGGCCUGGGUUCAAUCCCUGGUCAGAGAA
RNAcentral lists this transfer RNA (73 nucleotides) under Bos taurus (domestic cattle). It matches the Rfam family "tRNA". Rfam says of the family: Transfer RNA (tRNA) molecules are approximately 80 nucleotides in length. Their secondary structure includes four short double-helical elements and three loops (D, anti-codon, and T loops). The record is from Rfam by way of RNAcentral. Lineage: Eukaryota; Metazoa; Chordata; Mammalia; Artiodactyla; Bovidae. RNAcentral also lists the same sequence under 2 other names.